RNAcentral lists this ribosomal RNA (301 nucleotides) under uncultured bacterium. RNAcentral describes it as "partial 16S ribosomal RNA". It matches the Rfam family "Bacterial small subunit ribosomal RNA", at positions 509 to 807 of the family's 1533-position model. The record is from RNAcentral.
CAGUCGCCGCGGUAAUACGGAGGGGGCUAGCGUUGUUCGGAAUUACUGGGCGUAAAGCGCACGUAGGCGGUUUUGUAAGUCAGAGGUGAAAGCCCGGAGCUCAACUCCGGAACUGCCUUUGAGACUGCAUCACUUGAACGUCGGAGAGGUGAGUGGAAUUCCGAGUGUAGAGGUGAAAUUCGUAGAUAUUCGGAAGAACACCAGUGGCGAAGGCGGCUCACUGGACGACUGUUGACGCUGAGGUGCGAAAGCGUGGGGAGCAAACAGGAUUAGAUACCCCUGUAGUCCCUGUCUCUUAUAC